GAUGAAGAACGUAGCGAAAUGCGAUAAGUAAUGUGAAUUGCAGAAUUCAGUGAAUCAUCGAAUCUUUGAACGCACAUUGCGCCCUCUGGUAUUCCGGGGGGCAUGCCUGUUCGAGCGUCAUUAUAACCACUCAAGCUCUCGCUUGGUAUUGGGGUUCGCGGUUCCGCGGCCCCUAAAAUCAGUGGUGGUGCCUGUCGGCUCUACGCGUAGUAAUACUCCUCGCGAUUGAGUCCGGUAGGUCUACUUGCCAGCAACCCCCAAUUUUUACAGGUUGACCUCGGAUCAGGUAGGGAUACCCGCUGAACUUAAGCAUAUCAAUAAGCGGAGGA
RNAcentral lists this unclassified non-coding RNA (329 nucleotides) under soil metagenome. RNAcentral's name for it is "partial contains 5.8S ribosomal RNA, internal transcribed spacer 2, and large subunit ribosomal RNA". The stretch from base 1 to 120 matches the Rfam family "5.8S ribosomal RNA", at positions 35 to 154 of the family's 154-position model. The record is from RNAcentral.